GUGGGGAAUAUUGGGCAAUGGGCGAAAGCCUGACCCAGUAACGCCGCGUGAAGGAAGAAGGUCUUCGGAUCGUAAACUUCUAUCCUUGGUGAAGAUAAUGACGGUAGCCGAGAAGGAAGCCCCGGCUAACUACGUGCCAGCAGCCGCGGUAAUACGUAGGGGGCAAGCGUUGUCCGGAAUGAUUGGGCGUAAAGGGCGCGUAGGCGGCCUGGUAAGUCUGGAGUGAAAGUCCUGCUUUUAAGGUGGGAAUUGCUUUGGAUACUGUCGGGCUUGAGUGCAGGAGAGGUAAGUGGAAUUCCCGGUGUAGCGGUGAAAUGCGUAGAGAUCGGGAGGAACACCAGUGGCGAAGGCGACUUACUGGACUGUAACUGACGCUGAGGCGCGAAAGUGUGGGGAGCAAACAGGAUUAGAUACCCUGGUAGUCC
RNAcentral lists this ribosomal RNA (425 nucleotides) under uncultured bacterium. RNAcentral describes it as "partial 16S ribosomal RNA". It matches the Rfam family "Bacterial small subunit ribosomal RNA", at positions 354 to 796 of the family's 1533-position model. The record is from RNAcentral.